GUAAAGCUUGGCUCUGACUUAUUAAUACAGCGAGAACUAAAGAAAACACAUGAUUUCUGUUGAACUAGGCAAGGAUAAAAGUAACAAAAAAAUAAUGGAAAAUUAAAGGAUUUGUUUCUUUUAAUGGUAUUAUAAAGAUAGACAAUGCCUCAAAAGUCUUGCUAACAUCAGUGUUGAAGGUUGAUUAAAAGCGUAAGCUUGUAUUAAUUUAGUUUACAUAAAUCCGGUUAAUCUGGUGCCAGCAUCCGCGGUUAAACCAGGGGAUUAAGUUGUAUUUUAUGGUAAAAAGACAGUUAUGUGGAAUAAACGGUUUAAUUCACUGUGUUAUCAGGAGGUAGAAUUCAAAGAUAAACAAUUAUACUUAAUAAAACCGGUGUACUGAAGCUGUGAUAACUUUGAGGGAAACUAGGAUUAGAUACCCUAUUAUUCAUAGAAGUAAAUAAGAAUAUUCUACCAGAGUACUAAGAACAAAAAAUUUAAAACUCAAAGGGCUUGGCGGUGUUUUAGACUACUUAGGGGAACCUGUCUCAUAAUCGACAAUCCGCGUUAAACCUAACCUUUUUUUGCAUUCAGUUUGUAUACCGUCGUCGCCAGGUAACUUUUAAGAAAUGAAUAGUUAGCUAGCUAAAUAUUUAAAUUAAGACGUCAGAUCAAGGUGCAGCUAAUAAUAAGGUGUAGAUGGGUUACAAUUAUUAAUAUUCGUAAUAACGGAUAAUGGCUUUAAAGGCAAUUAGAAAGGGGGACUUAAAAGUAAAAUAGACUAUAUAAAUAUCUUGAAUAAAGCUCUGAAACGUGCACACAUCGCCCGUCGCUCUCGUUAAAAAAUGAGAUAAGUCGUAACAUAGCAGGGGUAAUGGAAAUUGUCCCUAUAUUAAA
Molecule: non-coding RNA, 876 nt
Filed under: Isara chinensis
Lineage: Eukaryota; Metazoa; Mollusca; Gastropoda; Neogastropoda; Mitridae
Source: RNAcentral